AAGAGAGUUGAAGGCUGUGGAUGUAGCUCAGUGGUAGACUUCUUGUCUACCAUGCGUGAGUCUCCAGCUUUGACCAGCACUGGUGGGGAAAAAUAAGAAAGUGGCAGCCUAAAGCAUCUCACCAAAGUCACAAAAGCAGAUCUUUCAGUGCAGGAAAGAACCAGCCUCGACCCUUCUCGAGACUUCUGCC
This 190-nucleotide long non-coding RNA is filed under the name Chinchilla lanigera (long-tailed chinchilla). RNAcentral describes it as "lncRNA (ENSCLAG00000028756.1)". The record is from RNAcentral. Lineage: Eukaryota; Metazoa; Chordata; Mammalia; Rodentia; Chinchillidae.